UACGGAGGGUGCAAGCGUUAUCCGGAAUCACUGGGUUUAAAGGGUGCGUAGGCGGUCAGAUAAGUCAGUUGUGAAAUACCCCGGCUUAACCGGAGGAACUGCGAUUGAUACUGUUUGACUUGAAUCAGGUUGAGGUAGGCGGAAUGUGGCAUGUAGCGGUGAAAUGCUUAGAUAUGCCAUAGAACACCGAUUGCGAAGGCAGCUUGCUGGGCCUGUAUUGACGCUGAGGCACGAAAGCGUGGGGAGCAAACAGG
This 254-nucleotide ribosomal RNA is filed under the name uncultured bacterium. RNAcentral's name for it is "partial 16S ribosomal RNA". It matches the Rfam family "Bacterial small subunit ribosomal RNA", at positions 524 to 776 of the family's 1533-position model. The record is from RNAcentral.